UACAGCCAUAUCACAUUGAAACACUGGUUCCUAUAUGACCACCAAAGUUAAGCAAUAUUGAGUCUGGUCAGUACAUAGAUGGGUGACUGCUUGUGAAUACCAGGU
This is a non-coding RNA of Acanthosepion pharaonis, 105 nucleotides long. The record is from the annotation of a GenBank genome assembly. NCBI's taxonomy places the organism in Eukaryota, Metazoa, Mollusca, Cephalopoda, Sepiida, Sepiidae.